UAUUGUUAACCAGGUUUUCCGAAGGAAAAAACUGGUUAUUAGAUUGGCGAAUGCGGGCGGGCUGGCUGGCUGGCGGGCUGGCGGAAUAAGCUUGUCCGGGCCAUAACUAUGUCGUUCAUUGUCAGAUUUUAAAAUCAUUUGGCACAUUUGUUCACCAUCAUUGGACGGUGUGUCGCGCGAAAUAAUUUCGUCGAUAUCUCCAAGGUCAAGGUCACACUUUGAGUUCAAAGGUCAAAAA
This is a long non-coding RNA of Dreissena polymorpha, 238 nucleotides long. RefSeq lists it as uncharacterized. The transcript is spliced from 2 exons. Lineage: Eukaryota; Metazoa; Mollusca; Bivalvia; Myida; Dreissenidae. The record is from RefSeq and is a predicted model, not a curated record.